Long non-coding RNA from Teleopsis dalmanni, 937 nucleotides. RefSeq lists it as uncharacterized. The record is from RefSeq and is a predicted model, not a curated record. The transcript is spliced from 5 exons. Lineage: Eukaryota; Metazoa; Arthropoda; Insecta; Diptera; Diopsidae.
UUUUAUGAAAGUUGUUUUAAAAAUUUUGGUCCUUUUUCUAAAUUUAAAUAUGUCAAAAUUUUUUAGUACAAUUAGAGUCAGUAAAUUAGUCUAUGAUCAAUUAAAAAAUCGUAAAUUUUCGUCAUCCAAGUCAGAUAGUAUCACAGCAGACCAGUGGGAAGAAGCAAAAUCGAAACUUGAAAAACUCCAAGAAAGGAUCAGUGGGGUCAAAGCGACUAAUAAUGAAGAAUUAAAAGCACGAAAUAGUAAGACAAAGCUCCUUGAGAUGGUUCAACAGGUUUUACGGACAAAAUUAGAACAUGAUUAGAUUCAUUCAUUUUUUGUGAUACCUUCAUGUUGCAAAUAAGAACUCGAUAAACUUAAGAAUUGCAUCCAAAGACCAAGAAAUGUAUACCGGUAUCGUAAAGCGGUGAAUGCAAGGUGUAUCUGAUCAAAUUGGAAGCUGAAGACUGUCUUUUGUUGAUUUUAUGGUUAAUCUCAAUGUUGAGUGCCAGAGCAAUGCUUUCCAAAAAAAGCCAUACUUUCACAAGUAUGGUACCUUUAUACAUCUCGGAAACGAUCUUUCCGAUAGAAAAAAAUAAUAUGCUGCUUCUCAUUUACUUUGUCUAAAAGUAAUAAGUCAUGUGUAUAGAAAUCCUUACUACAUAUUGUCUACAGCGAUUUUCUGAAAUGAAGAGGUAAUUAUGCCGAAUAACCUUGAGAGGAGCGCACGUAAAUACUCUAAAUAUCCUGUGUAGAAAAUUUAGUGAGGCAAUAAGGUUUUUUGAAAAUGUGACAAAGUUCAAAAGGUCGUAUUCAAGUCUGUAUAAAUUCCACAACAACUAAGCUGAAGUAAACCAAUGACUGACUGGAACCAGGUCCUUUAUUUUUUGUUACAAAAUUUCUUGUGAAAUCCAUUCCUGUUAUAUAUUUUGUAUAAAUAAAUAAUAAAGUUUUA